Molecule: ribosomal RNA, 235 nt
Filed under: uncultured bacterium
Lineage: Bacteria
Description: partial 16S ribosomal RNA
Rfam family: Bacterial small subunit ribosomal RNA
Source: RNAcentral
UGGCGGACGGGUGAGUAAUGUCUGGGAAACUGCCCGAUGGAGGGGGAUAACUACUGGAAACGGUAGCUAAUACCGCAUAACGUCGCAAGACCAAAGAGGGGGACCUUCGGGCCUCUUGCCAUCGGAUGUGCCCAGAUGGGAUUAGCUAGUAGGUGGGGUAAAGGCUCACCUAGGCGACGAUCCCUAGCUGGUCUGAGAGGAUGACCAGCCACACUGGAACUGAGACACGGUCCAG